AGUCUCUCCUUGGGUCUGCUGCAGAGCACCUGUUCUGACUUGCUGUCGCUGUAGGGCUUCCCUCUGGGAGUCAUUUUUGUUUUUGCGCCUUGUGUUCUGUGUUUUGUUCGUAAUGUUUGUAGCGUGCCUGUGUGUGUGUUUGGCCUGGAGCUGUCCUGCCUGGCAGUUAGUGAUGGUAGCUAACGUGGCGGUCCAUCGGUGUACUAAUGCAUUGUCCGGACUGUUUUGGCAAAGACAUCCGGUCUGCCUCUGGGCACGUACUGAAGGGCAGCUGGCACAGAGUCAUCUCAGUGGUGUUUGGCAGAUGUGGAGGGGGAGACCUGAGCUGCUUGCAAGCAGCUGUUUGCAUAGUGCUUGAAUAGUGCUAGAGGAGAGGUCUGUCGUUGAAUCUUGAAGGCUCGCAGAUGUGGAGUGUUUUUUUUCUUUCUUUCCCCACCCCAGUAGAGGGUAAACCGUAGGAGGAACCGGUCACAGGAAAGAGCUCCUUCUGGAGCUGUCAAGCUCUUGUUUGGCAGCUUGGUGACUGGCUUGGUCUACUUCUGAGGUGCCGAGGCAAGUUGUCUGCUGUUUUGAAACGGUAACAUUGGCAAUGGGGUCCCUUGUGUUGUUGAGGGAUGGGUGCUAAUGCUGACAGCUGAAUGAUUAUCUUCUGACUGUUUUCAUUUGUUAAAGCUUAAACGCAGUGUACAACCUGGGACGUCACACCCAGAGCUGCCUCUGGCAAGAGGUGUUGUAGCUGGCUUAAGAGGGUAGAUGGAAGCAUCUGCCUCGGGGUAGGUGUCUCGCAGAGGUUCAAAGGAGCAAACUGCAUUCUGAAGAGCUGCGUAAGUGCCAUGGCAGGCUUUCCACACAAGUGGCUGAGGACUUGAGAUGAGACCGGAGAGUGACAAGGAGCAGCACGUGCAGGGAUGGUUUCCAAGCGCUGCGGUCGUUUUCUCUUCUGUUCAUCAGGUGCCACAGGCAAGGUGAAGAGGUGCCUGGAGCCCCAUGUCAUCUAGCCUGCGUGUGCCUUGAGGAUGAAGCCUGCUUUCCAGCAGUCCCUAAAGCUAAGUUUGGCCUGAAAUGCCCUGUCUGUGUCUUGGGUGGGGUUGUACCUUGGUGUCUGUGUGAUAUGUGCAUGGGGAUGGCUUUUAAAUCAGUGCAGCAGAGGAACAGAAUCCAGUAACAACUGGGUGAAGAGGCCCUGGGUUCAUCCUUUUCAGCCUAGUGUGUGCCAGGCAGGGCAGUUCCAGCAUGUGUUCUAUGGUGUAUGUUUGUUUCUGUGUACUAUAGUAUCCAUUUAUCAGGUCUUGUUCCCAUAGUUCUUGGCCUCUGCAGUGCUUGCUGAGCACCGUAUCAUGGGUCUUAAAUGUAUUGUCAGGUUGGCACGGGACUAGUAAUGAAGUGUUUCUUGUCUUUCAUUGGGACUUUAAAAGGCUGAUCUCUCUCCAGAGCUUGAUGUAGUCUACAUUUCUUGAUGGCAGCCAUCAUGGCCCUCAGUCUUGGGCUUGUGUAUAUUCAUGUACGGUUUGGGAGCCUGGCUCCAUGUGGUUUGGGGUCCCGGUUCUGUGGUUUUGGACUACUGUUUCUGGUUUGGGGGGGCGGGUGUGGGUGGCUCUCUGCGUGGUGCUGCCCCGGCGCCGCGUGGUACCGCCCCGGCCGAGUUGGAGCAUGUGAGCAGCUGAAGAAAAAGAGCUAGUGAAAGAGAGGUAUUGCAGCAAGUAGGCUGUGCCUGUGAGGUGCCUGAGGAUCUGCCUUUUCUUUUUUUUUUUUUUCUUUUGUGGGUGCUUCCUGCAGUCUUGGAGAGGUGAAUCCCCACAUCGUGGAGUGCUGAGAAAAGGCAAGAGGGUCGUCAGCCCAGUCAGUGUCCCUAAGCAAUGACCCCUAAGGCAAGUCUUCGAAGUGUUUCCACUCUGUUUUAGUAGGUGCUGUGGCAGGCCUUCCUCAGAAUCUGCUGAGGGUCUGAGGUGGUGUAGGUGACACUGGCUGUACUGUUGGAGCUUGGACUCAGAGGAAUGGAUGAUGAUAAGCCUGGCAAUGGGCUAAGAUGUCUCUCAGUGGCUGUGCAUUUCUUGAGGUGGAGGGAAUUUACCAUCCAGCAAUCUGAGAGCUAAGUUGAGGGGCACCUGGUAUUUGCAUGUGUGGAGUGGCUGGUGGGAGCUGGGAGCCAGAGCAGCAUGGAGCCAGCUGGCUGAAUAUACUUGGUGCCACUGUGAGGGUGGUUCAGGCUGGGUCACCUUCAGGCUGCUUGAGGCUGGGUCACCAGGCUAAUAGAAGGAGCAGGGGGUAUUUUGUAGUGUGAGUGUAUGCGCCAGGCAGGACAGUUCCCAUCUGUCUUGUAGUGCUGCUUCUGCAGCGUGUGUUCUGUGUUAUGCGCUCCUCGGGUCUCGAUAUCCUCCUUGCUUCUUGCACUGGACUGACUAGACUGGCAACUUGGUAGCAGCGCCAAAGGUCCUAAACGCUUGUUUUGUCAUCGUGGGUCUGAUCCGAGCACUUCUUGUCUUGCAGUUGCAGGCUAAAGUGCAGAUCUGUUUCAGGUCUUGUGCAUCAUAUUCAGUUUCAGAUCGCAUCUGUUUCCAUCCUCACUCUUGCAGAAGUCAUCUGGGUCGCAUCAGGAGCUCUUGCUUGGGAGUUCAUUUCCGAAGCAUUUUUCUUAUGGGGUUUGCACUCCCCAUCCUUCUGGUCUCUUGUCUUAAAGGCAGGCUUUUUAUGCCUCCAUCAUCCCAGUUCUGGCAGUUGCUUCCAGUCGCAUGUUGUGACAUUUGAGUCUCUCCUUGGGUUUGCUGCAGAGCACCUGUUCUGACUUGCUGUCGCUGUAGGGCUUCCCUCUGGGAGUCAUUUUUGUUUUUGCGCCUUGUGUUCUGUGUUUUGUUCGUAAUGUUUGUAGCGUGCCUGUGUGUGUGUUUGGCCUGGAGCUGUCCUGCCUGGCAGUUAGUGAUGGUAGCUAACGUGGCGGUCCAUCGGUGUACUAAUGCAUUGUCCGGACUGUUUUGGCAAAGACAUCCGGUCUGCCUCUGGGCACGUACUGAAGGGCAGCUGGCACAGAGUCAUCUCAGUGGUGUUUGGCAGAUGUGGAGGGGGAGACCCGAGCUGCUUGCGAGCAGCUGUUUGCAUAGUGCUUGAACAGUGUGCUGGAGGAGGUCUGUUGAAUCUUGAAAGCUCGCAGAUAUGUGGUUUUGAAUUUUUUCUUUCUUUCCCCACCCCAGUAGAGGGUAAACCUUAGGAGGAACCGGUCACAGGAAAGAGCUCCUUCUGGAACUGUCAAGCACUUGUUGAAACACAGUGUACAACACGGGACUUCACGACCGGAGCUGCUUUUGGCAAGGUGAGCGAUGAACAGAUGUAGCAGUUAUUUUAGGGUUGCUGUUGUCACUGCACUUUCUUAACUACACAAAAUACAGUUAAAGUCCUGUUUAUAUUCCAGAGGUGUUGUAGCUGGCUUAAGAGAGCAGAUGGAAGCAUCUGCCUCGAGGGCAGGUGAGGGGGCAGAGUAGGGGAGCGGAUGAGAGUACCUGUCCUAGCUGUGCUGCGGCUUUGGAUGCUGCCGCGGCCUAUGCUUUUCUUUUUCUUUCGCAGGUGCCUUGCACAGACUCAGAGGGGCCAAGCUGCACUCCUGAAGAGCAGCACAAGAAGGGCAGGCUGGUCGUGAGUGGGGUUGGAGCAGGAUGGCCAAGUAGCGCAAGGUGAUUGCGAAGGGUAUCCAUCUUGCUUUGCAGGUGCAAUGGCAGGCUUUCCACAGAAGUGGCUGAGGAUUUGAGAAGAGGUUACAGAGCAUCAAGGAGCGGCACGUGCAGUGAUGGCUUCCAAGCGGUGAAGAGGUGCCUGAAGCCCCAUCCUGUCUAGCCUGCGCACACCUCACUAAGAAUGAAAGCUGCUUUCCAGUAAUUCAGACAGCCAAGUUACGUCUCAGCCUCGAGCAUCUGGGGACUGUGCCUGUGUUUUUGGGCCUGUCUGUAGCAUUUGGCACCUGCAUUAAUACUUUCUUGGCAUACGUGCAGGCUUCUGGGGCCUGUGUCUUGGG
Cygnus olor (mute swan) is the source of this 4000-nucleotide RNA transcript. RefSeq lists it as uncharacterized. The transcript has 9 exons. The record is from RefSeq and is a predicted model, not a curated record. Lineage: Eukaryota; Metazoa; Chordata; Aves; Anseriformes; Anatidae.